This 301-nucleotide ribosomal RNA is filed under the name uncultured bacterium. Its description in RNAcentral is "partial 16S ribosomal RNA". It matches the Rfam family "Bacterial small subunit ribosomal RNA", at positions 509 to 807 of the family's 1533-position model. The record is from RNAcentral.
CAGUAGCCACGGUAAUACGAAGGGGGCUAGCGUUGCUCGGAUUUACUGGGCGUAAAGGGCGCGUAGGCGGACAGUUAAGUCGGGGGUGAAAGCCCGGGGCUCAACCUCGGAAUUGCCUUCGAAACUGGCUGUCUUGAGUACGGGAGAGGUGAGUGGAACUCCGAGUGUAGAGGUGAAAUUCGUAGAUAUUAGGAAGAACACCAGUGGCGAAGGCGACUCACUGGCCCGUUACUGACGCUGAGGCGCGAAAGCGUGGGGAGCAAACAGGAUUAGAUACCCGAGUAGUCCCUGUCUCUUAUAC